Molecule: ribosomal RNA, 445 nt
Filed under: uncultured bacterium
Lineage: Bacteria
Description: partial 16S ribosomal RNA
Rfam family: Bacterial small subunit ribosomal RNA
Source: RNAcentral
GUGAGGAAUAUUGCGCAAUGGAGGCAACUCUGACGCAGCCAUGCCGCGUGCAGGAAGAAGGCGCUACGCGUUGUAAACUGCUUUUAACCGGGAAGAAACCCCAGGACGUGUCCUGGGUUGACGGUACCGGAGGAAUUCGCACCGGCUCACUUCGUGCCAGCAGCCGCGGUAAUCCGAAGGGUGCAAGCGUUAUCCGGAUUCAUUGGGUUUAACGGGUGCGUAGGCGGAGCGUUAAGUCAGUGGUGAAAUCCUGCAGCUUAACUGUAGACUUGCCAUUGAUACUGGCGCGCUUGAGUGCGCUUGAAGUGGGCGGAAUGUGCCGUGUAGCGGUGAAAUGCUUAGAUAUGGCACAGAACACCAAUUGCGAAGGCAGCUCACUAAGGCGAUACUGACGCUGAGGCACGAAAGCGUGGGGAUCGAACAGGAUUAGAUACCCGAGUAGUCC